ACACGCUUCCUGGGAGACCCGGCUGCAAGGCCAGGCUAAUGCGCGCUCCGACGUCUCUGUGCCAAGCCGGGGCGCAAGCUCAACCCCCAUCUCAAGUUCAGCCGCGCUUCCUCCCGCAAGGUCACGCUUAAACACUCGCGCAGAGAAAGGAGGAGCGGAAAGUUGCGCCACCGUCCCGAUUCCAAACUAACUGUACCCUCACCAGAGCGCCUCGCCCCAGGGUCACCGCUGUCCGUCCCCGUGCGCUCCCAGAAGGGGUGGCCCUGCCCCCACGCAGGUCACACACACGAGAGACACAGGCAAGUUGCUAACUUUUGUCAGAUUAUUUCUUGGGAGCUGCGACGCCUCACGGGGUUGGGGCGGAUUCAGAGUUUCGAGUUGCCACUAACACGACUCCGGCCGUGCUCUCCUUGGCCCACCCGCGUCCCCCACUGUCCGCCACGCCGCGUUCAGCUCUCUUGUCCCGGGUGUCAACUUCACCCCCAGAUCCGGAGCAGCGCGCUCUGACGGCGUCCCCGGGGCCGAUAGCCACCUCCCGGAUCUGCGCCUGCUUGCAGCGGAUUGGGGGACUCGAUCCGGAUACUGUCCCACGGCCGCUCGUCCAGAACACUGGCGGCCUCCGCGGUGUCCCAGCCUGUGACCCCAAAUCCGCUCGAGAGCGCCUGAGCCCGGCCACCCAGCGAGGUCUCCUCCCACGGGCGGCCCCAGCGGAGGAGAUCCCAGCCCGGCGCCGGGUGCAAUGUCACUGGGGCUGCUUUCGGGAACCGCUGCCCGGGACUUGGCGUAGGUUCCCCACAGAGCUCCAGGCAGCUCCUCCAGUGUCGGCCGAAGACCCCUAAGCCCGAACCUCCACCCCGACCUUCUUCCUCUCCCAAAGCCCUGGGUGGUCGCCGCUGCCAAGGAAGGGGUCUCCCUUCGAAUGUCUUCCACUAGAAUCCCGGGGUCUUCAGUCCCAGCUCCACUGUCACACCCUCCUAGUCCCCUCCCCACCCCUUCAGUUCCCGGGUCCAGACAAUCAACCUUCCACUCCGAGAAUCCACAGGAAACUGCCCGAGCCCCAACUCAGGCGGACGCAGCCCCCGCGCACCCCGAGCAGGGUUCGCCUCCGCGCGCGCACUCACCACGGCUGGAGACACGCUGGAGUUUCCGGGAUUUGGGCAUGAAGGGGUUCGGAGGAGAAUACAGGGGUGUGGGUGUCCCGGACACUUGCCCCCUUCCCAGCUCACAUCGCCUCUUCCUUCUCUCUCCGCUCUUCUUCCUCCUCCUCCUCCCUCCGGUCUAGGGCUCUUUGUCUUUGCAAAGUGUCGAAACUGUCUGGCAUAGUGGGCUCCGCCGGCGGAGGCUGGAGCCGAGGAAGCGAGGAGGCGGGAUGAGGGUGGGAGAGGGCUCGGGAACACCUUCCCCCGGGUGUAACGGGAGUGAAAGGCGGGGCGACCGAGGAGGGGCCGCCUUCCCUGGCCGGCCGGGGCCGGGUGCCAGGGCGCGCCAGAGCCCAGCCACCGCCUCCCCUGCGCGCGGCCCUCCCCUUCCUCCGCCCAGUGCCCGCCCCUCCCGACUCUGCGCCUCCGUUCGGCCCCGCCCACCCCAACUUGGCUCGGCUUUCCCUUGGCUCCGGGCUUCCUGCAAGCCGAAUUUAGCUCUGCCAAGCCACGUGGACCGCAGCGGGCUCGGCAGAGGCCGAGCCUGGGAGACGCCGGAGGCGGCGGCUGCGGCGCGGGGACCUGAUCGGCGCCCCGAGAGGAGCUCCCCGCUCUCUGGACGCGGCCCUCAAGCUGGCGGGGCUAAGGAAGAGCGCCCGGGAGGCCCGGGAGCCACUGGGGUCCGUUUCAGCAGGAAGACGGGCACGCACCGAGAGGAUGGCAGUGCCCAGAAGAACUCGAGUCGGGGGCACGGUGGGGAGAAGGGGCCGAUCCCCUGCUGGCGACCGGGCAGAGCCACCCACUUCCUCUAAGGGCGCGGGACUCGAGGUGGGAUUUAGGGAGGGGGAAGGGAGGAGCGUGGGCUGGACGACUCUUGCGGCCAGAACCGCGUUCAGAGCCACAGAGCCGGGCACUGCGGCCGGCCCUGGUCCCGGCCCCGGCCCUGGCCCAGCCCUUGCCCUGGCUCGCCUGCCGCCGCUUUUUCCUUCCAGAUGCGGAGGCUGCGGCUGGAGCUUGGGGUUUGCGGAUUAGGCUUGCAGUUAUUCAGCCCUCCCUCUUUUACAGGGAAGCGGGGGCGGUGGAGACUUCUUUUGCUGAAAGGCAGAGUGCAGCGCUUUGAUGCUAAAUGCAGUACACAAGUCAUGUAAAUCUGGUUUUACGGUUCUUAACCCCUUACUGAGACUACCUCUUUCGCAACUUUUCGGAGGAAUGUUAGAGGAAAGAGGCACAGUUUGCCUUUGGGGUCAUUGCAUCCUUCCAGCGCCCCUUGCUCCAGCUGGAGAGAGAUCAACCUUUUGCAGUGGAAGGGGAGAGUCCCCCAGCCUUUGUUUCAUCAGACGGCUGCUGUAGUACAGGGAUUCAGGCCAGGGCCCGCAUGGCCGGACUUCUUGGUUCAAAUCCUGCACUGCCACUCAACGGAUGUGUGAGCUUGGGCUAGUGACUGAACCUCCCAGCCUAGGUGACUCUGUGCCUCGGUGUCCUCAUCUGUGAGAACCGACCUAAGAAGUGUCUGUCUGAUAAAGCUGUUGUGAUGAGUUAGUGAAUUCGUACACAUAGAACCUUUAGAACUGUCUUUGACAUGUAGUAAGUCAGCUGUGUAGAUGGUGGGUUUCUCCAGUGUCAGGUCCCUGCCCACAGCAGGAAGAUGACCUGUGCUAGAAGAUGGGGGCUAGGGUGUUGGGGAAGACUUCAGGGACUUGGGAGAGAAAAGGAGAAAUAUUCAGAGAUGAGAAAAGUAGAAGAAAAACCAGCUUUUAAAAGGGGGAGGAGAGAGAAUGAGAAAAAUAACUACUAGAAAGGGAAGGAAAAGAUGAAUAGCCUUUUAGGUACUUCGGGACCUGCUCUGAGACCUCUUGCCUGACGCCCUUGGUUUUUGAUAGAAUUCUAGAGAAGGGGUGAGCCCUUUUGUCUGCCUGGACACAUCCUGUGGGCUUUCCUCUUUCUGAAACUCAGGUCAAGGUGUUCACUGCAUCUCCAGAUUGCUUGUGUGCAUGGGAGGAGGGGGGCAGAGAGUUCUGCUUACAUCGGCUACUGUCCCCUCCACCAGCAGCGUCUUCCAGCAAAGAAGAGCUUCUAACAUGCACCAGACUUUUAGCUUUGGCUGGGAAUAUCGUCUGGGCCAAUAAAGAGUUUUUGGAUGAAAUAA
Molecule: long non-coding RNA, 3285 nt
Filed under: Homo sapiens (human)
Lineage: Eukaryota; Metazoa; Chordata; Mammalia; Primates; Hominidae
Description: ST3GAL1 divergent transcript, transcript variant 1 (ST3GAL1-DT)
Source: RNAcentral